GCCUGGUGAGGUGGCGCUUGCCUGUAGUCCAGCUACUUGAGAGGCUGAGGCAGAAGGAUCGCUUGAGCCCAGGAGUUCUGGGCUGUAGUACACUAUGCCCAUCAGGUGUCCCCACUAGAUUGGCAUUAAUCUGGUGACUUCCUGGCAGCAGCGGACCACGAGGUUGCCUGAGGAAGGGUGAACCAUCCCUGGUUGAAACCAAGCAGGUCAACUCCCUUGCUGAUCAGCAGUGGGAUCUCGCUUGUGAAGAGCCACUGCACUCCAGCCUUGGCAACAUAGUGAGACCCUGUCACUU
Unclassified non-coding RNA from Equus asinus (donkey), 295 nucleotides. It matches the Rfam family "Metazoan signal recognition particle RNA". From Rfam's summary of the family: The signal recognition particle (SRP) is a universally conserved ribonucleoprotein. It is involved in the co-translational targeting of proteins to membranes. The eukaryotic SRP consists of a 300-nucleotide 7S RNA and six proteins: SRPs 72, 68, 54, 19, 14, and 9. Lineage: Eukaryota; Metazoa; Chordata; Mammalia; Perissodactyla; Equidae. The record is from Ensembl.